CAGCAUUACUGCUCUUUUAGAAUUUGUCUAGCAGGUUUUCUGAGUUUUACAAAAAAAAAAAACCCCC
This 67-nucleotide small nuclear RNA is filed under the name Saimiri boliviensis boliviensis (Bolivian squirrel monkey). RNAcentral's name for it is "U7 small nuclear RNA (ENSSBOG00000013476.1)". It matches the Rfam family "U7 small nuclear RNA". From Rfam's summary of the family: Animal histone pre-mRNAs are spliced by a different mechanism than nuclear pre-mRNAs and self-splicing introns. This processing involves the U7 snRNP, which contains only one RNA species: U7. Lineage: Eukaryota; Metazoa; Chordata; Mammalia; Primates; Cebidae. The record is from Rfam by way of RNAcentral.